GGCCUUGCGCUCUUUUAGCGGCCGAUGUCAGAUUAGCUAGUUGGUGAGGUAAAGGCUUACCAAGGCGACGAUCUGUAGCGGGUCUGAGAGGAUGAUCCGCCACACUGGAACUGAGACACGGUCCAGACUCCUACGGGAGGCAGCAGUGGGGAAUUUUGGACAAUGGGGGCAACCCUGAUCCAGCCAUGCCGCGUGAGUGAAGAAGGCCUUCGGGUUGUAAAGCUCUUUCGGCCGGGAAGAAAUCGCAUGGGCCAAUACCCUGUGUGGAUGACGGUACCGGAAUAAGAAGCACCGGCUAACUACGUGCCAGCAGCCGCGGUAAUACGUAGGGUGCGAGCGUUAAUCGGAAUUACUGGGCGUAAAGCGUGCGCAGGCGGUUUUGUAAGACAGGCGUGAAAUCCCCGGGCUUAAUCUGGGAACUGCGUUUGUGACUGCAAGGCUAGAGUACGGCAGAGGGGGGUGGAAUUCCACGUGUAGCAGUGAAAUGCGUAGAGAUGUGGAGGAACACCAAUGGCGAAGGCAGCCCCCUGGGUCGAUACUGACGCUCAUGCACGAAAGCGUGGGUAGCAAACAGGAUUAGAUACCCUGGUAGUCCACGCCCUAAACUAUGUCAACUAGGUGUUGGGUGGGUAAAACCAUUUAGUACCGUAGCUAACGCGUGAAGUUGACCGCCUGGGGAGUACGGCCGCAAGGUUAAAACUCAAAGGAAUUGACGGGGACCCGCACAAGCGGUGGAUGAUGUGGAUUAAUUCGAUGCAACGCGAAAAACCUUACCUACCCUUGACAUGCCAGGAACUUGCCAGAGAUGGCUUGGUGCCCGAAAGGGAGCCUGGACACAGGUGCUGCAUGGCUGUCGUCAGCUCGUGUCGUGAGAUGUUGGGUUAAGUCCCGCAACGAGCGCAACCCUUGUCGUUAAUUGCCAUCAUUUAGUUGGGCACUUUAACGAGACUGCCGGUGACAAACCGGAGGAAGGUGGGGAUGACGUCAAGUCCUCAUGGCCCUUAUGGGUAGGGCUUCACACGUCAUACAAUGGUCGGUACAAAGGGUUGCCAAGCCGCGAGGCGGAGCCAAUCCCAGAAAGCCGAUCGUAGUCCGGAUUGCAGGCUGCAACUCGCCUGCAUGAAGUCGGAAUCGCUAGUAAUCGUGGAUCAGCAUGUCACGGUGAAUACGUUCCCGGGUCUUGUACACACCGCCCGUCACACCAUGGGAGCGGGUUCCGCCAGAAGUAGGUAGCCUAACCG
RNAcentral lists this ribosomal RNA (1241 nucleotides) under metagenome. RNAcentral describes it as "bacterial SSU rRNA". It matches the Rfam family "Bacterial small subunit ribosomal RNA", at positions 209 to 1441 of the family's 1533-position model. The record is from RNAcentral.